This 1027-nucleotide long non-coding RNA is filed under the name Phasianus colchicus (ring-necked pheasant). RNAcentral's name for it is "lncRNA (ENSPCLG00000017028.1)". Lineage: Eukaryota; Metazoa; Chordata; Aves; Galliformes; Phasianidae. The record is from RNAcentral.
UGGGGUCGAGGUGCUGGUAUGGGGUCCCACACCCCAUAAUGGGGUCGAGGUGCCUUUUUGGGGUCCCGCACCCCCAUAGGUGCCAUGAAUGGGGUGGGGGCUCCGUUUUGGGGUCCAGCACCCCAUAGGUGCCAUGAAUGGGGUCGAGGUGCUGUUAUGGGUUCCCACACCCCAUAAUGGGGUCGAGGUGCCUUUUUGGGGUCUCGCAUCCCAUAGGUGCCAUGAAUGGGGUCGAGGUGCUGUUAUGGGGUCCUGCACCCCCAUAGGUGCCAUGAAUGGGGUCCAGGUGCCGUUAUGGGGUCCCACACCCCAUAAUGGGGUCGAGGUGCUGUUAUGGGGUCCCACACCUCAUAAUGGGGUCGAGGUGCUGUUAUGGGGUCCCGCACCCCAUAGAUGCCAUGAAUGGGGUCCAGGUGCUGUUUUGGGGUCCCACACCCCAUAAUGGGGUCGAGGUGCUGUUAUGGGGUCCCGCACCCCCAUAGGUUCCAUGAAUGGGGUCGAGGUGCUGUUAUGGGUCCCACACCCCAUAAUGGGGUGGAGGUGCUGUUAUGGGGUCCCGCACCCCAUAGGUGCCAUGAAUGGGGUGGGGGCUCCGUUUUGGGGUCCAGCACCCCAUAGGUGCCAUGAAUGGGGUCGAUGUGCCGUUAUGGGGUCCAGCACCCCCAUAGGUUCCAUGAAUGGGGUUGAGGUGCCGUUAUGGGUUCCCACACCCCAUAAUGGGGUUGAGGUGCUGUUAUGGGGUCCAGCACCCCAUAGGUGCCAUGAAUGGGGUGUGGGCUCCGUUUUGGGGUCCCGCACCCCAUAGGUGCCAUGAAUGGGGUCGAGGUGCUGUUAUGGGGUCCAGCACCCCCAUAGGUGCCAUGAAUGGGGUCGAGGUGCCGUUAUGGGGUCCUGCACCCCCAUAGAUGCCAUGAAUGGGGUGGAGGUGCUGUUAUGGGGUCCCGCACCCCAUAAUGGGGUCGAGGUGCCUUUUUGGGGUCCCGCACCCCCAUAGGUGCCAUGAAUGGGGUCAAGGUGCUGUUAUGGG